ACGAUUGCACCAUCCCCAAAGUGGACUAUCAGACCAGGAUAACUCUGAAAGUCACAGAGAAACCCGCUGUGAUAACUCCACGUCCUUUGCCUCCUGUGACUGCUUCGCCUCGUGCUGCAGCGGUAACCUCCUCCCUCCACCACCUGACUCUCCUCUGUCCUGCUCUGUUUUUGCAGUUCUUGCCUUGAAAGUAGGCACAGGAGUUAAAGUCGGGUUUAGCUUUAAUCAAAAACUAGAUUAUACCUUAAAAAUAACAUUUCACACUGUCGGAUAAGGUAAAAGUCUUUCUUUUACCUUAUUUGCUCUAAACAUGGUAAACGUAUGAUGGAGCUGCUUUGAAUUAUUUAUGCAAACAUCUAUCGUCUUAUUAGUCUGUUCAGUGUGCUGAUAUAACUCAUCUUCCAAUCAGAUGACAGAAAAAUGUAAAAACUAACCCUCAGCUCGAAAUCACCUGCGACUGUUACACUCCAACUCACCCGCUGCAUCCACCUCCACCUGUUUUCAGCCCUCCAGAGCAAACAUGAAUGAACUUGCUGCACAAACGUUCAUGACAUCGACGUUAAAUUGAUCCAUUUAUAAACAAUCUCCUAAAGACACGCUGUCAUGUUAUUCCAUGUAUGUUGAUAAUCAUAAAGAUAGUUGUUUAGCUUAGUGUUGCUAAUCAAGUCGAAGCUGGCCUGCUGGACAAGCUGUGUCAUGACACCAGAGAUAUCGGUGUAGUCCUAUUUAGAUCUGAUUAGAGUCGGACGGUGUUUUCAUUGCUUUUCCGUGCUAACUUCAUGCUGUGUUACUGGAAAACAAAGAAACAACCUCCAAAAUCUGUAAGUAUCCAUACUGGCCAAUAUUGGUUAAUACCUGAAAAACUGAUGUACCAGUCUCCUGGCUGAUAUCCAUCCGCUGACUCAGGUCAGCCUUCAAAUUCAAUGAUUUCAAAACUGAUGGUGGCCCUCAAAGGUCAAACGAACUGCAAGUAGAAAAAUACUCCAAAAACGCACAAAGUACAAUAAAAGAAAAAAAAAUUGCAAAACCUCAGAAAAAAAGUUUUUUUUUUUUUCUGUUUCCGUUGUGUUUUCUUCAACUUCCUUUCUGUUUUGUGUACUUGUUCCAUUUGUUAAUGUUUUCUUAAGUUGCAGUGCAUUUGACCUUUGAGCGCCACCAUUUAAAUAAAUAAAAAAAUAAGUUCUAUGGAGAGCUGACAAGGUUUUAAAACCGGUCAUUAUUUACCCCUAAUGAAGCUCUUUUGAUGCCUGAGACCAAAAAAAGGACAUUACAGCAGCAGAAGAAGAAAAGUAUCCAAACAACAUCGAUGCGACCCAGAUUACUGUCAUAAACAGAAAAACAAAAUUGUUCUACUUCCUGAGAUUGCUGCGGGAGCUUUAAACGUCUAAAGUUUCAGUGUGUGUUUCGUUAUAAUUGUACUAAAAUAUAUCUGUGACGGGCCAAUAUUAGUCAUAUUGAUCAGAUUGGAAUUCUCCCACAGAAAACAUCUUUAUAAAUCUGAUUUACCUUGUUCACGUUCUUUGUCGAUCACCAGGAGGAAAGUGCUGUCUGUCAUCUAUGAAUAAAACAGGAAGUCACACUGUCAGGCUGAUUUAACAGGCUUUAAUCUACCUGGAUGUUUCACAGUGACGCCAUAUAGACACUGAUGUUUGCCACAGACCGGGAUUAUGAAGCGUUUUUUUUGUUUUUUUUUUAGGUUGUGUUCAUUUCAGUGAUUCUCCUUGCAUGUGUAUCUUUGUAUCACUGACGUAAAUAAACAUUAGUUCUUUAAGUUUAAUCCAAAGACAUUCAACAUCAAAUGAAUCUUUAAAGUGUCAGAUAUGUGAAACGAGUGAGAACAAUCGGCCACCACAUGGAGCUGUCACAGCUAUGAUUAUUAUUAUUAGUAGUAGUAGUAUUAAUAACUGUUGUUGUUGUUAUUAUUAUUAUUAUUAUUAUUAUUAUUAUUAUUAUUAUUAUUAUUAUUAUUAUCAUUAUCAUUUAUUAACAAUAGAGGAGCUCCAGCAAAUUGAAGACUUACUAAAUCUGAUGGCAUGGAUCUCUGCAGAUGAUUAGCAGCUUCUAAAGGAGGUCAUUGUACAUUAUGCAAUUUUUUUUUGCUCUGUUUUUAUUUGAAGAAAUUAUUGUUGAAGGGAAAAUAAGCACUUAAAACUAGGCUGUUAUUUAUUAUUUAUUUAAAAAACUAAAAUGUAAAAGUGAAGUUUAUUUAUGUUUUUGACAACAAAACAUUCCAAAGAAAUGUUCCAGUUGACCCCACAACCCAAAAAAACCCCUCAAAAAUAAUCUGUUUACCAAAAACAGCAAAACAUCCAACACAAUCUAACAAAAGCAUGACUUUAUAACCAUCAGUGCUGAGAAUAGUCAGUAAAAUAUCAGAUUUUGUUGUCUGCGUCUUCUAUCAUUUACUAUAUACUAUAUUACUGUUAUUAAAGAUCGGCUGUUUUUUAUAUUCACUACUGCUGCUAUUGUUUCUGAUGCAGAUGGAUC
Long non-coding RNA from Oreochromis aureus, 2487 nucleotides. RefSeq lists it as uncharacterized. The record is from RefSeq and is a predicted model, not a curated record. NCBI's taxonomy places the organism in Eukaryota, Metazoa, Chordata, Actinopteri, Cichliformes, Cichlidae. The transcript has 2 exons.